CAGACCUGAACCAGACACCCGAACCAUAGACUUGAACCAGACACCCGAACCAGAGACCUGAACCACAGACCUGAACCACAGACCUGAACCAGACACCCGAACCAGAGACCCGAACCACAGACCUGAACCAGAGACCUCCACUGGAGCUGGCUGCUACCGUCCGUCCGUCCGUCUGUCUGCAGAGAGAGUGCAGGCAGUAUAACUCCAGCUGUUAUCUAAUGGAGUCUGUCCUGUAGGACUGCAUUAGAGAUGUAGUGACGGAGGGAGUCUGUCCUGUAGGACUGCAUUAGAGAUGUUGUGACGGAGGGAGUCUGUCCUGUAGGACUGCAUUAGAGAUGUUGUGACGGAGGGAGGGAGUCUGUCCAGUAGGACUGCAUUAGAGAUGUAGUGAUGGAGGGAGGGAGUCUGUCCUGUAGGACUGCAUUAGAGAUGUAGUGACGGAGGGAGUCUGUCCUGUAGGACUGCAUUAGAGAUGUUGUGACGGAGGGAGGGAGUCUGUCCAGUAGGACUGCAUUAGAGAUGUAGUGAUGGAGGGAGGGAGUCUGUCCUGUAGGACUGCAUUAGAGAUGUAGUGACGGAGGGAGGGAGUCUGUCCUGUAGGACUGCAUUAGAGAUGUUGUGACGGAGGGAGUCUGUCCUGUAGGACUGCAUUAGAGAUGUAGUGAUGGAGGGAGUCUGUCCUGUAGGACUGCAUUAGAGAUGUUGUGACGGAGGGAGGGAGUCUGUCCAGUAGGACUGCAUUAGAGAUGUAGUGAUGGAGGGAGGGAGUCUGUCCUGUAGGACUGCAUUAGAGAUGUUGUGAUGGAGGGAGGGAGUCUGUCCUGUAGGACUGCAUUAGAGAUGUAGUGACGGAGGGAGUCUGUCCUGUAGGACUGCAUUAGAGAUGUUGUGACGGAGGGAGGGAGUCUGUCCAGUAGGACUGCAUUAGAGAUGUAGUGAUGGAGGGAGGGAGUCUGUCCUGUAGGACUGCAUUAGAGAUGUUGUGACGGAGGGAGGGAGUCUGUCCUGUAGGACUGCAUUAGAGAUGUUGUGAUGGAGGGAGGGAGUCUGUCCUGUAGGACUGCAUUAGAGAUGUUGUGAUGGAGGGAGUCUGUCCUGUAGGACUGCAUUAGAGAUGUUGUGACGGAGGGAGUCUGUCCUGUAGGACUGCAUUAGAGAUGUUGUGAUGGAGGGAGGGAGUCUGUCCUGUAGGACUGCAUUAGAGAUGUUGUGACGGAGGGAGUCUGUCCAGUAGGACUGCAUUAGAGAUGUUGUGACGGAGGGAGGGAGUCUGUCCUGUAGGACUGCAUUAGAGAUGUUGUGACGGAGGGAGUCUGUCCUGUAGGACUGCAUUAGAGAUGUUGUGACGGAGGGAGUCUGUCCUGUAGGACUGCAUUAGAGAUGUAGUGAUGGAGGGAGUCUGUCCUGUAGGACUGCAUUAGAGAUGUAGUGACGGAGGGAGUCUGUCCUGUAGGACUGCAUUAGAGAUGUUGUGAUGGAGGGAGUCUGUCCUGUAGGACUGCAUUAGAGAUGUAGUGAUGGAGGGAGUGAGUCUGUCCUGUAGGACUGCAUUAGAGAUGUUGUGACGGAGGGAGUCUGUCCUGUAGGACUGCAUUAGAGAUGUUGUGACAGAGGGAGUCUGUCCUGUAGGACUGCAUUAGAGAUGUUGUGACGGAGGGAGUCUGUCCUGUAGGACUGCAUUAGAGAUGUUGUGACGGAGGGAGUCUGUCCUGUAGGACUGCAUUAGAGAUGUUGUGACGGAGGGAGGGAGUCUGUCCUGUAGGACUGCAUUAGAGAUGUUGUGAUGGAGGGAGUCUGUCCUGUAGGACUGCAUUAGAGAUGUAGUGAUGGAGGGAGUGAGUCUGUCCUGUAGGACUGCAUUAGAGAUGUAGUGAUGGAGGGAGUGAGUCUGUCCUGUAGGACUGCAUUAGAGAUGUAGUGACGGAGGGAGGGAGUCUGUCCUGUAGGACUGCAUUAGAGAUGUUGUGACGGAGGGAGUCUGUCCUGUAGGACUGCAUUAGAGAUGUUGUGACGGAGGGAGUCUGUCCAGUAGGACUGCAUUAGAGAUGUUGUGACGGAGGGAGUCUGUCCUGUAGGACUGCAUUAGAGAUGUAGUGACGGAGGGAGUCUGUCCUGUAGGACUGCAUUAGAGAUGUUGUGACGGAGGGAGUCUGUCCUGUAGGACUGCAUUAGAGAUGUAGUGACGGAGGGAGUCUGUCCUGUAGGACUGCAUUAGAGAUGUUGUGACGGAGGGAGUCUGUCCUGUAGGACUGCAUUAGAGAUGUUGUGACGGAGGGAGUCUGUCCUGUAGGACUGCAUUAGAGAUGUUGUGAUGGAGGGAGGGAGUCUGUCCUGUAGGACUGCAUUAGAGAUGUAGUGAUGGAGGGAGGGAGUCUGUCCUGUAGGACUGCAUUAGAGAUGUUGUGACGGAGGGAGUCUGUCCUGUAGGACUGCAUUAGAGAUGUUGUGACGGAGGGAGUCUGUCCUGUAGGACUGCAUUAGAGAUGUUGUGAUGGAGGGAGGGAGUCUGUCCUGUAGGACUGCAUUAGAGAUGUUGUGACGGAGGGAGGGAGUCUGUCCUGUAGGACUGCAUUAGAGAUGUAGUGAUGGAGGGAGUCUGUCCUGUAGGACUGCAUUAGAGAUGUUGUGACGGAGGGAGUCUGUCCUGUAGGACUGCAUUAGAGAUGUAGUGAUGGAGGGAGUGAGUCUGUCCUGUAGGACUGCAUUAGAGAUGUAGUGAUGGAGGGAGGGAGUCUGUCCUGUAGGACUGCAUUAGAGAUGUAGUGACGGAGGGAGGGAGUCUGUCCUGUAGGACUGCAUUAGAGAUGUUGUGACGGAGGGAGAGAGCAGCUUAAGAGUUAAUCUGCUGCACUAAUUGAACAGCUCUGUGGAGGUAGAGGCCGUUUCUCUGAUGGUUCCUGAUCGCUGCUUCAAACAGGACAUGUGCUGAAGCAAUGUGUGUUUCCUCUGAUGCCUGCAGAAAAGAUAGAAGUUUACUGUAGGUUACUGUAGGUUACUGUAGUUUACUGUGGGUUACUGUAGGUUACUGUAGUUUACUGUGGUUUACUGUGGUUUACUGUAGUUUACUGUAGUUUACUGUAGUUUACUGUGGGUUACUGUAGGUUACUGUAGUUUACUGUAGUUUACUGUGGUUUACUGUAGUUUACUGUGGUUUACCGUAGUUUACCGUAGUUUACUGUGGUUUACUGUAGGUUACUGUGGGUUACUGUAGGUUACUGUAGUUUACUGUAGUUUACCGUAGGUUACUGUAGUUUACUGUAGUUUACUGUAGGUUACUGUAGUUUACUGUAGUUUACUGUGGUUUACCGUAGGUUACUGUAGUUUACUGUAGUUUACUGUAGGUUACUGUAGUUUACUGUGGUUUACUGUAGGUUACUGUAGUUUACUGUGGUUUACCGUAGUUUACCGUAGGUUACUGUAGUUUACUGUGGUUUACUGUAGGUUACUGUAGUUUACUGUGGUUUACUGUAGUUUACUGUGGUUUACCGUAGUUUACCGUAGGUUACUGUAGUUUACUGUGGUUUACUGUAGGUUACUGUAGUUUACUGUGGUUUACUGUAGUUUACUGUGGUUUACCGUAGUUUACCGUAGGUUACUGUAGUUUACUGUGGUUUACUGUAGGUUACUGUAGUUUACUGUGGUUUACUGUAGUUUACUGUGGUUUACCGUAGUUUACCGUAGGUUACUGUGGUUUACUGUAGUUUACUGUGGUUUACCGUAGUUUACCGUAGGUUACCGUAGGUUACUGUGGUUUACUGUAGGUUACUGUAGUUUACUGUGGUUUACCGUAGUUUACUGUAGUUUACUGUGGUUUACUGUAGUUUACUGUAGGUUACUGUAGUUUACUGUGGUUUACUGUAGUUUACUGUAGUUUACUGUAGGUUACUGUAGUUUACUGUGGUUUACUGUAGGUUACUGUAGUUUACUGUAGUUUACUGUGGUUUACUGUAGUUUACUGUAGUUUACUGUAGGUUACUGUAGUUUACUGUAGUUUACCGUAGGUUACUGUCAACCAGCUGAAUGAAUAUAUUCUAUAUAAUAUUAUAUUAUAUUGAAUAUAUUAUAUAUAGAGUUUUAUUUAUGGUGCUCAAAACAUCCAAGAAUGACAUUUGAAGAGCUCAAAGUGCUCGUCGCUUUGUACACUUUUCUGCAACGGUUUCCUUUAAGAACCAUUUUUGUAUAUAAAGAUAGAUUUUAAUUAAGAAUGCACCGAUUUAUCGGCCGAACAUCGGUAUCGGCUGAUAUUCGCCUAGUUGACUGCUAUCGACCUCUCAGUAAUGACAUUCAGUGGCAGUGGCCGAUGAUUAUCUGUUGUGUUGCAUCAGUUUUGCGCCGACUAAAGGUUGUUGGUUUCAUCUACUCUGUCUUCUCUUUGUUUGUUC
Molecule: long non-coding RNA, 4382 nt
Organism: Sebastes umbrosus (honeycomb rockfish)
Lineage: Eukaryota; Metazoa; Chordata; Actinopteri; Perciformes; Sebastidae
Exons: 3
Source: RefSeq, a predicted model, not a curated record